Long non-coding RNA from Periophthalmus magnuspinnatus, 349 nucleotides. RefSeq lists it as uncharacterized. Lineage: Eukaryota; Metazoa; Chordata; Actinopteri; Gobiiformes; Gobiidae. The transcript is spliced from 3 exons. The record is from RefSeq and is a predicted model, not a curated record.
AGUAAAAGGAGAAAGCCCAACCCCAGCUGCUGCAGUGGAAGCGGCCUCCAUUGACAGAUUUGAUAAUGUGGGCUACAUUAGUGGACAAGUGCAGCCAGAAGUAGUUGCGUUCCCUGCUGCUCCCACCCCUCAGUUCUCUGCGCCCUACCCCUCUACUACUGCGCCUUACCUGCCUGUAGACGCUGCCAGUCACUGCUUAUGGAGCGGCUAAAGGCACUGUUGAUUCUGCCCCUGUCACAGAGGUCCCAGGUUGCCUCUCAGGGACUGGAGCAAACUGAUGAUGUGCAGCAAAUUCCACAACAGAUUCACAUUCAACAGCAGCUCAAACUGCAUUUUCACCCACAAGGUA